AAAUUUUUAUACUUGGCAGUAAAAAGCUUUAAAAAGGAUAAACAAACAAGCACUGUGGUAAAAGAUGUCCAGCAAUGGUGUUUCCCGAACACUGCGCAUGUUUGCUACAGCUGCUGUUGCAUUCUUUGGUGGAACUUUUGCUCUUGGUUUCUUAACCUCUUCCAUUUCAGGACGUCUCACUCUACAUAAAAGGAAAAAGUAUGGCAGACUAUGUGGGGCUUGUAAAGGGAUAGGUUAUUACCCUUGCAAACUGUGUAAAACUAAUGGCAUAAUAGAGUGGUCUCCUCUUUAUGAUCCCGUGUUUAUAAAUCCAUGUGUUUGCCCAACCUGUGAUGGAUUUAGGGUACAACGCUGUCUCAACUGCUUGGGUUUUGGUUUUGUAUGACAACCAAGUUCAGGUGGCAUGUGAAUUGAUUUUUUCCCAAUUUUUUUUUUGAACCUCCACACCACGAAGAGAGUGAUCACUUUGAAAUUGCAAAGUUGCAGCUGGAACUUUUUGAUGUGAAGUAAUACUGGAAUACUUUCUAGGCAGGUAGGUAAUGACUAAUGAGAACUUUGAAGAGGUGGAAAACUGAUAAAUUUUGCAAGGAAUUAGAAGUUCUGUUCAACCAUUUGAAUAAGAUGAAGAAGAAACUUUGUAUUUCAAGCACCAGGAGGGAGAUGAAAAGUUUGAAGCAUGGAUAAAAUGGAGACCUUUUAGCAGACGGAAGACGAGAAAUAUAUAGCAGAAGGCUUCAAGAAAAAUCCAGAGCAAGUUUUCCUCUGCCAUGGUGGCUAGAAUUUGACAGAAAUCUCAAUGAUUCGAGCGUAGUAUUUUUCACUUGAUUGAACAGCUCGUUUCAACAAUGAAGAUCCCUUCAUUUACUGAUGAAAGUUGCAAUUCAACUCUCUUGUGCAAGGAACUGUUCUGUGGAUAUCAAAAUGAGUUAAAAGAUUUUUGUAUUUUCACUUGCGAUUUUCCUACUUAACUGUUAUAAAAUUACGUGCAAUUUUCCUA
RNA transcript from Olea europaea var. sylvestris, 997 nucleotides. RefSeq lists it as uncharacterized. The transcript is spliced from 4 exons. The record is from RefSeq and is a predicted model, not a curated record. Lineage: Eukaryota; Viridiplantae; Streptophyta; Magnoliopsida; Lamiales; Oleaceae.